RNAcentral lists this ribosomal RNA (441 nucleotides) under uncultured bacterium. RNAcentral's name for it is "bacterial SSU rRNA". It matches the Rfam family "Bacterial small subunit ribosomal RNA", at positions 29 to 477 of the family's 1533-position model. The record is from RNAcentral.
AAUGAACGUUGGCGGCGUGGAUUAGGCAUGCAAGUCGCGCGAGAAGUUUCCUUCGGGAGACGGACAGCGGCGGAAGGGAGAGGAAUAAGUAGAAAUCUGCCCUCGGGACGGGGAUAGCGGCGGGAAACUGCUGGUAAUACCCGAUAACAUCUUUGGAUCAAAUGGUGUGAUUCCGCCUGAGGAUGAGUCUACUUCCUAUUAGCUAGUUGGUGUGGUAAUGGCUCACCAAGGCAACGAUGGGUAGCGGGUGUGAGAGCACGAUCCGCCUCAACUGGGACUGAGACACUGCCCAGACACCUAGGGUGGCUGCAGUCGAGAAUCUUGGCAAAUGGGGGAAACCCCUGACCGAGCGACGCCGCGUGCGGGAUGAAGGCCCUCGGGUUGUAAACCGCUGUCGUAAGGGAACAAAUCUAAGAGGGUACUCCCUUUUAGUUGAGUGAU